Molecule: non-coding RNA, 30 nt
Filed under: Homo sapiens (human)
Lineage: Eukaryota; Metazoa; Chordata; Mammalia; Primates; Hominidae
Source: RNAcentral
UGACAGACACCUGUUGAGCUCCCUCAUCAC